GAUGAACGCUGGCGGCGUGCCUAAUACAUGCAAGUCGAGCGAACGGACGAGAAGCUUGCUUCUCUGAUGUUAGCGGCGGACGGGUGAGUAACACGUGGAUAACCUACCUAUAAGACUGGGGUAACUUCGGGAAACCGGAGCUAAUACCGGCUAAUAUUUUGAACAGCAUGGUUCAAAAGUGACAGACGGUCUUGCUGUCACUUAUAGAUGGAUCCGCGCUGCAUUAGCUAGUUGGUAAGGUAACGGCUUACCCAGGCAACGAUGCAUAGCCGACCUGAGAGGGUGAUCGGCCACACUGGAACUGAGACACGGUCCAGACUCCUACGGGAGGCAGCAGUAGGGAAUCUUGCGCAAUGGGCGAAAGCCUGACGGAGCAACGCCGCGUGAGUGAUGAAGGUCUUCGGAUCGUAAAACUCUGUUAUUAGGGAAGAACAUAUGUGUAAGUAACUGUGCACAUCUUGACGGUACCUAAUCAGAAAGCCACGGCUAACUACGUG
Molecule: ribosomal RNA, 497 nt
Filed under: uncultured bacterium
Lineage: Bacteria
Description: partial 16S ribosomal RNA
Rfam family: Bacterial small subunit ribosomal RNA
Source: RNAcentral